AUGAGAGAUCCACUCUGGGGAGAGAAGUGCUUUACCUCAGCUGUCUUUCAGCACCUGAGAUGGUUAGGGUUUAGUUCCUGGGCCAUGCUUAGAGUCACUCUCCUGACCCUGCUCCACUGCCCCUCGCCUGAGAAAGAGCAGUUUGCAACAGUGUUUGGUCCAAGGAAGUCCUCUCCUCUGUGGCUGCUGGAUUUCAGGACCAAGUUUCCAGAAUGGGGCUGCGAGGCUCCAAGUGAUAAAACCAAGGACAAAUGUGCCGGGCUCCUUUUACCGGGAUCCACUGAUCAGCCUCGUGAAGAGCUCACGACUGCUGAGCUGCACCGUGACGUCUGUCUAAGGCCCAUCAGAUGAGCUCUCUGGAGGCCCCUGACUGCGGCCUCUGCCGCUCCAACCUCUGGGCUUGAGGCAGUGAAUGGAAGCCACGCCCUCCUCCCCUAAGCACGGUUAGGGGCACCUCUUCUGAGGCACGUAGUGCAGACAGCUCAGUUACAGAGACACUGCGGGUGGCUGGGCCUCCCAGAAGUCAGUGCACAAGACUGCUGUGGCUGGAGGUGCAUUCGUUAAAAGCCGGGCUUCCAGACGGAGAGGACUGGUACACCCCACGCUGCCCCCAGGGGUGAAGAGCAGUGAGUGACACCCUAAACAGGCCUCGGUCACCGGCGGGGCAGACCUUACCCACCCUUCCAGGAAAGGGCCUUGUUCAAUCCCCGCACGCUGCUCCACGCCUGGCUCCCCAUUUGAUCCCAUCAGUGUUGCCUGAGCGACUCCGCUCGUAAUCUCACAGCUGCCUGUAGCUCCGUUCCAGCCCCAAAUACUCCUCUGGCAGGCGGGAUCCCUGGCACCCACUUUCUGGGCCCCCUUCCAUUCCUCCCAGACAGAAGCUGCCUUUCUUGCAAUAAAUUCUUCCUACU
This 911-nucleotide long non-coding RNA is filed under the name Fukomys damarensis (Damara mole-rat). RNAcentral describes it as "lncRNA (ENSFDAG00000030528.1)". Lineage: Eukaryota; Metazoa; Chordata; Mammalia; Rodentia; Bathyergidae. The record is from RNAcentral.